GAUGAACGCUGGCGGCGUGCCUAAUACAUGCAAGUCGAGCGAACGGACGAGAAGCUUGCUUCUCUGAUGUUAGCGGCGGACGGGUGAGUAACACGUGGAUAUCCUACCUAUAAGACUGGGAUAACUUCGGGAAACCGGAGCUAAUACCGGAUAAUAUUUUGAACCGCAUGGUUCAAAAGUGAAAGACGGUCUUGCUGUCACUUAUAGAUGGAUCCGCGCUGCAUUAGCUAGUUGGUAAGGUAACGGCUUACCAAGGCAACGAUGCAUAGCCGACCUGAGAGGGUGAUCGGCCACACUGGAACUGAGACACGGUCCAGACUCCUACGGGAGGCAGCAGUAGGGAAUCUUCCACAAUGGGCGAAAGCCUGACGGAGCAACGCCGCGUGAGUGAUGAAGGUCUUCGGAUCGUAAAACUCUGUUAUUAGGGAAGAACAUAUGUGUAAGUAACUGUGCACAUCUUGACGGUACCUAAUCAGAAAGCCACGGCUAACUACGUG
Molecule: ribosomal RNA, 497 nt
Filed under: uncultured bacterium
Lineage: Bacteria
Description: partial 16S ribosomal RNA
Rfam family: Bacterial small subunit ribosomal RNA
Source: RNAcentral